This 787-nucleotide ribosomal RNA is filed under the name Enterococcus hirae. Its description in RNAcentral is "bacterial SSU rRNA". It matches the Rfam family "Bacterial small subunit ribosomal RNA", at positions 27 to 785 of the family's 1533-position model. Lineage: Bacteria; Bacillati; Bacillota; Bacilli; Lactobacillales; Enterococcaceae. The record is from RNAcentral.
GGACGAACGCUGGCGGCGUGCCUAAUACAUGCAAGUCGAACGCUUCUUUUUCCACCGGAGCUUGCUCCACCGGAAAAAGAGGAGUGGCGAACGGGUGAGUAACACGUGGGUAACCUGCCCAUCAGAAGGGGAUAACACUUGGAAACAGGUGCUAAUACCGUAUAACAAUCGAAACCGCAUGGUUUUGAUUUGAAAGGCGCUUUCGGGUGUCGCUGAUGGAUGGACCCGCGGUGCAUUAGCUAGUUGGUGAGGUAACGGCUCACCAAGGCGACGAUGCAUAGCCGACCUGAGAGGGUGAUCGGCCACAUUGGGACUGAGACACGGCCCAAACUCCUACGGGAGGCAGCAGUAGGGAAUCUUCGGCAAUGGACGAAAGUCUGACCGAGCAACGCCGCGUGAGUGAAGAAGGUUUUCGGAUCGUAAAACUCUGUUGUUAGAGAAGAACAAGGAUGAGAGUAACUGUUCAUCCCUUGACGGUAUCUAACCAGAAAGCCACGGCUAACUACGUGCCAGCAGCCGCGGUAAUACGUAGGUGGCAAGCGUUGUCCGGAUUUAUUGGGCGUAAAGCGAGCGCAGGCGGUUUCUUAAGUCUGAUGUGAAAGCCCCCGGCUCAACCGGGGAGGGUCAUUGGAAACUGGGAGACUUGAGUGCAGAAGAGGAGAGUGGAAUUCCAUGUGUAGCGGUGAAAUGCGUAGAUAUAUGGAGGAACACCAGUGGCGAAGGCGGCUCUCUGGUCUGUAACUGACGCUGAGGCUCGAAAGCGUGGGGAGCAAACAGGAUUAGAUAC